GAUAAACGCUGGCGGCGUGCAUGAGACAUGCAAGUCGAACGAAGGAUCGGGCUUGCUCGAUCCUUAGUGGCGGACGGCUGAGUAACGCGUAGGUGACCUACCCCGAAGUGGGGAAUAACUGCCCGAAAGGGUGGCUAAUACCGCAUGUGGUCGCACGUUCAUUCGUGCGAGUAAAGCCGCAAGGCGCUUCGGGAGGGGCCUGCGUCCGAUUAGCUCGUUGGUGGGGUAAUGGCUUACCAAGGCUACGAUCGGUAGGUGGUCUGAGAGGACGAUCACCCAGACUGGGACUGAGACACGGCCCAGACUCCUACGGGAGGCAGCAGUCGGGAAUUUUGCUCAAUGGGGGAAACCCUGAAGCAGCAACGCCGCGUGAGGGAUGAAGGCCUUCGGGUUGUAAACCUCUUUUGUCAGGGACGAUGAUGACGGUACCUGGCGAAUAAGCCACGGCUAACUACGUG
RNAcentral lists this ribosomal RNA (458 nucleotides) under uncultured bacterium. Its description in RNAcentral is "partial 16S ribosomal RNA". It matches the Rfam family "Bacterial small subunit ribosomal RNA", at positions 28 to 507 of the family's 1533-position model. The record is from RNAcentral.